UACAGAGGUCUCGAGCGUUAGGCGGAAUCACUGGGCUUAAAGCGUGUGUAGGUGGAUCGUUAAGUACCUUGCGAAAUCCCACGGCUUAACCGUGGAACUGCUUGGUAUACUGGCGGUCUUGAGCCACUUAGGGGCUACCGGAACAAAUGGUGGAGCGGUGAAAUGCGUAGAUAUCAUUUGGAACGCCAAUGGUGAAAACAGGUAGCUGGGAGUGUGCUGACACUGAAACACGAAAGCCAGGGGAGCAAACGGG
This 253-nucleotide ribosomal RNA is filed under the name uncultured bacterium. Its description in RNAcentral is "partial 16S ribosomal RNA". It matches the Rfam family "Bacterial small subunit ribosomal RNA", at positions 524 to 776 of the family's 1533-position model. The record is from RNAcentral.